AACGAACGCUGGCGGCAGGCCUAACACAUGCAAGUCGAACGCCCCGCAAGGGGAGUGGCAGACGGGUGAGUAACGCGUGGGAAUCUACCCAAAGGUACGGAACAACCAAGGGAAACUUUGGCUAAUACCGUAUGUGCCCGAAAGGGGAAAGCUUUAUCGCCUUUGGAUGAGCCCGCGUCGGAUUAGCUAGUUGGUGAGGUAAUGGCUCACCAAGGCGACGAUCCGUAGCUGGUCUGAGAGGAUGAUCAGCCACACUGGGACUGAGACACGGCCCAGACUCCUACGGGAGGCAGCAGUGGGGAAUAUUGGACAAUGGGCGCAAGCUUGAUCCAGCCAUGCCGCGUGAGUGAUGAAGGCCCUAGGGUUGUAAAGCUCUUUCAGCGGGGAAGAUAAUGACGGUACCCGCAGAAGAAGCCCCGGCUAACUUCGUGCCAGCCGCCGCCGUAA
Molecule: ribosomal RNA, 447 nt
Filed under: uncultured bacterium
Lineage: Bacteria
Description: partial 16S ribosomal RNA
Rfam family: Bacterial small subunit ribosomal RNA
Source: RNAcentral